GCGCGGGGCACGCUGGGUUGAAGGGUGAAGGGCGAGGGGGACAGGGACCGGGACGGGGGCAGCCCUUUCCCAGGCGGUAGCGGGGCCGGUGGUGCUGUUGCCCUUUUAAGCUGUGGCUUGACAGGAGCCGCGCCUCCCGUCGGUGGAGUCGGUUACAAUGGGAGCAGCCCCACAGGCCUCCACAUAGCUCCCGCCAAGUCCUCCUCCGUGCCCCUUGCCAUUUUCCAGCCGCGCUCCCACGAGGCUCGAGGAGGCGGGGAGAGGCGGAGCUGGGAGAGCUCUGUAGGGCGGCCCCGCGGGUGGUCGCGGCCGUGACAGCGGCUCCGGACAGUCUCCGGUUCCGCGCCUCUCUGGCCGGAGAUGAGGGGAAGAUGUCCGUGUCCCGGCUCAAGGCCAAACUGAAGUUGCUGGCAUCUGUCUUCCACAAGGACCCGGAGCCCGCCCCCGCCGGCUCACGCUCCCCUGCAACAUGACGAAUGGGGCAACAGAGGAAGUGACUUCAGAAGAAGAGGAAGAAGAGGAGAUGGCUGAAGUCGGAGAAGAACGACAUUUCGGCCGGGCGCGGUGGCUCAAGCCUGUAAUCCCAGCACUUUGGGAGGCUGAGACAGGCGGAUCACGAGGAUAUAGAAGACUGAGACCACUGUGAGAUGAAAGAAGAGCCUAUUAGUGGGAAAAAGUUAGAGGAUGAAGGAAUUGAAAAAGAUAAUUUGGCAAUAUUAGAGAAAAUUAGGAAGACUGAAAGG
Molecule: long non-coding RNA, 743 nt
Organism: Piliocolobus tephrosceles (Ugandan red Colobus)
Lineage: Eukaryota; Metazoa; Chordata; Mammalia; Primates; Cercopithecidae
Exons: 3
Source: RefSeq, a predicted model, not a curated record